CCCACAUAGUAUGGUGGUUGUGACACUCGGCUUGUAAUCGAGUGGGCACGGGUUCGAAUCCCGUAUGUGUCUUCGGGA
This is a non-coding RNA of Trichonephila inaurata madagascariensis, 78 nucleotides long. The record is from the annotation of a GenBank genome assembly. NCBI's taxonomy places the organism in Eukaryota, Metazoa, Arthropoda, Arachnida, Araneae, Nephilidae.